RNAcentral lists this long non-coding RNA (1976 nucleotides) under Homo sapiens (human). Its description in RNAcentral is "HSALNT0234070". Lineage: Eukaryota; Metazoa; Chordata; Mammalia; Primates; Hominidae. The record is from RNAcentral.
GGCUUGUUUGGGAAGCUCUCUGAAUUUUAUGGCCUUGAGGUCCUUGAGAGUGACAUCAUUUGAGGUUGCUAUGAAGUUUUAUGUCUCACUUUUACUUAUGCAACUGUUUGCAGUCCUUUGGUUGCUCCUUCUCUCAGUGUCAUGCAAAACUUUGCAGAAAUGACCUGUGAAUUUGAUCCAAAGAAUGUAUCAUUGCUACUCAAGGGACAUGCUAUGUACAGAAACAAGACUAUGGACAUAAUUCUACAGGUCGAGGAGUUUCGCAGACAUAACUCCUUGGGAGCAGUGCCCAGGUCAAGAAAGAAAAUGUGGCCAAUGCCCCAGGAUCUUAUUUGGUCAUCCAGGCUGGACUGCAGUGGUGUGAUCAUAGCUCACUGCAGCCUCAAACUGCUGGACUCCAGUGAUCUUCCAGCCUCAGCCUCCCCCGGUAGCAAGGACUACAGGGUCCCAGAAGGAACCAACGCUGCCCACACCUUAAUUUGAGACUUCUGGCCUCUGAGAAAUGAGAAAGAGUCUCACUCUCUGUCGCCCAGCCUGGAGUGCAGUGGCAUCAUCUGAGCUCACUACAACCUCCGCCUCCCGGGUUCAAGCGAUUCUCCUGCCUCAGCCUCCUGAGUAGCUGGGACUACAGGCACGCGCCACCACGCCCAGCUAAUUUUCGUAUUUUUAAUAGACAUGGGGUUUCACCAUGUUGGCCAGGCUGCUCUUGAACUGCUAACCUCAAGUGAUCCACCAGCGUUGGCCUCUCAAAGUACUAGGAUUACAGUGCUAGGAGCCACCAUGCCCGGCCGCCUCUCUUUUCUUUUACACAUGAAGAAAAAGUGGUCAGAGAAGUUAACUUGGUCAGUGCCAAAAGCACUGGAAGUGAGUAGGACCAAGCUUUUCAUCUAGAUUUGUUUGUUAGACUCUAAAUCCAAAUUCACAACAAGAUCAGAAUAUGAGAAACCUAAGGAACAAAAUUCUAGGAAUCAUUUCUAGAAACUGUGGCUAUUGAAAAAGCACAGACCUAGGGAAUCAAAUUAUUUUCCCUGCCACCAGCACAUGGGUAGGCCUGUGACAAAUUCCAUGCUCUGGACCCCAGAUUCCUCAGUGAGAAUAGAAGGGGCUAGAGACAUCAGGGAAUUGGAUUUGGUGACUUUAAUACCCACUCAGCUCCAAAGCAUUCUUGAAUGAUGCACGAUUUAUGAAUAUAUAUAUUGAAAUUUACUGAUGGGUGAACAGCUCUCAACAUGAGAUUUUUGUUGUAUGCCUUAAAAAAGAUUAUACAUAAAUAUGCGUGUGUGUGUGUAUGUAUGUUUCGAUGUAUAUGAACCCAUGAUCUGAAAAAUGGCCACUGUGGCUUGUGGAAACCUAUUAAUCUCUGCUGUUCCACCCAACAUCCUCAGAGAAAAAAAUAAACAACUUUUUGAAAGUGCUGCCAUGGGGUCAGACCAAAUACUGUGGCCACUUCCAAGGGGUUUGCCUUGAUUUGCCUGGAUUCCUGUUCAUGUGACAUCUGCCUUCUAAUUCAAGGAUAUGAUCAAUUCAAUGUGUGAGUUAUCAAUCAAGGACUGGCAACAGUGAUGCUGAACAAGCCUGGUGGAAGGAAAGAGAAGGCAGGCCAGAGCCCAGACAGACGCAUUCACAAACCUUACAAAGAGGACAGGCUAAUUAGGGGCUGUAGUUCUCCCUCUCUUUAUAGUUGGUAUAAGAGGAGUGGUAAUCGUAGUGUCCAAAAAUAUAUGGGCUACAUAGUUGCUUAGUAAGCUGUGGGUAUGUGGUUUCUUCUGCAAGGUGCUUUCUUUCUGAUAAAGAGAUUACGUUGUUUGUUUGUUCAUUUAUUGAACAUAUUUACACUUACACACACACACACACACACACACAAUGUUCCAGAUACCGUACUUGGCAAUGGUAGUUAGACCUUGCUCUUGCAAAAUUUAUAAUGAAGUUGGGAAGUGUGGUUUGAUCCCUCAAAGUGUCCAAAUCCUAAUCCCCAG